AAUUCUCAACCUUAUCAGUUUAUUUCUGAUAGUGGCUUGGAUGGUGGGGGUGCUGGCCUCGUCAGCUCCCCUUAAAUGCAUUAGCUGGUGCCCUGUGUGGACUUGUCUAUUGGUGUGAUAAUUAUCUACGCCAUGGAUGUCUGCAAUCACACCGCUUCUAACCGUCUGUUAAAUCGGACAAUACAUGACA
This 190-nucleotide unclassified non-coding RNA is filed under the name uncultured Hymenogaster. Its description in RNAcentral is "sequence contains ITS2". Lineage: Eukaryota; Fungi; Basidiomycota; Agaricomycetes; Agaricales; Hymenogastraceae. The record is from RNAcentral.